AACCCUGCGAUGCCACCACAGACUUCAACACUCAUGAUGGCACUGAGCUGUAUGGAUUUUGCUUAUUUUGUAACUACUUUUUCACUCACUAAUGACCAGCCUCGAGGCUUAAAACGCGAGUGAGAGGACCAUAGUACUCUAAAAAAGCUGUAUGGCCUUUAGCUCCCUUUAAGAAGGAUCCCAGAUCAGACCUGUGUCUCCUCCCUUUUCUUGCAUGUUCUAGCUAGCAGGAAAUUCAGCCGGAGCUUUGUAGCCCCAUGGGGUCCAUGUAAACAAGGAGGCAGGCAUACAAGCAGCAGCCACCAGCCCUGGAGGACAGCCUUGGACCCUUGGAAGAAAGGAGUUUGUUUUUCCAGGGUUCUGUAGACUCUCAGGACCAUCCCAUGUCACCUCCUGGGCAAAGAAGUGCAACAGCUCUUCCUGCCAACUUCUCCUUAAGAGCUGUAUAGCAGGAAGUGGAUAGAUUUGCUUUCCUCACUUUGGGUCAGUGGUAAAAGAUGCUACAAAGAGGAGCAGGAAGCAGAAGCUGGGUGGAGUAAUGGAAGCGAGUCCUUCCCUAGUGUCACACGCAAAGCCUUGCGGGUCUGUCAGGUGAGUUUCAGGACUUCACACAUUCGUAUUUCUCUUUUCAGACUCUGCAGAUAGCCAUACGGAGAUUAUGGAGACCAGCACACCACAUCCACAGGGCUGCAGCUAACGAGCCACCCACUGAGCACAAUUGGUUGUCAGCUCAGCCCCUCCCCUAUGCAUCAUUAAUGUUUUGUGCCAUUACAAGGCCUGAGGACCCUCACAGGGAGUUUGGUAGCCAUAAAAAGAAAAUAAAAUGUAUUUAAAUUAUAUAAAAAAAUCAUCACCAUCUUCUUAACAGUGACAUAACAUGCAACCUCUGCAGCUCCACACAUUUGAAAGCUGAUGGUGCUCAGAGGGCACAUACUCAGCACUCCAGGUACUCUCCCUGCUUCAGGAAGAAAAGAUGUAAGAAGUACAGUUCCCAUUAGCAGGAUAACCCUGGAAGACCACACAAGCACAUUCCUCUCCAUCCCCUCUAGUAAAAAGAGGCCUCCAGCCUUUCACUGUGUCAGCACAAAGAGUAAUUCACAUGCAUAUGAAUGCGUUUGGCUAAUCAUAGUGUAGGGAUAAUUCUCUGUAUAUAAUUACACGCUGUACUAGGCAGUUAACACUGCAGGGAUGUUAAGGUCUGCUUAGAUGUAGGAAGGGGGGGUGGAAGGUUAUUAUGCAACAUUCAUAGGGCAAAUGGGCAGUUUCAGGCCUGCUGGUAUAUUUUGCGUAGACAUCGAGCCAAAAUCUAUGCCUAACUCAGUGCAGUCCCAAUUAAAACCAAAAAUAGCUGUUGCAGGUAAGAAUCCAUAUAAACUCUAUCCACUUACCUCUGUCAAAAACUUAAGUCUAUGCAUGGGGAUCCCCAUCAUACUGAUAGCCAAAGAUGCCUGGCUUGCUGGAUAAUUAAUAGGUCAAGUCCUAUGUACUGUGUUCGCUACCUCAGUUUCAGAAGUUCUGAGCAGCUGUGUAUCUCAUAGAUGACAAGAGAUUAGCAAGGUCUUAGUAUUCCUGAAUAUCAUGAAAGCUUUGUCUGGGAUUGAGGCUUUUCCAAAAUCUGUGAAGGAAGGAGAAAUAUAGAACUCUUUGAAUAGAAAUAAAAUAUUAUAAACCUGAAACCAAACAAUUUUUCACCUGUUUUAUUAAUAUAUCAAGAAAAGUUCAAUACAAAAUUGAAAAAGAAAAGUAGAGCAACAUCCUUGAAUUACUGACUUGACUUAAGUCAGGCAGAAGGUUCACAACACUGGGGAUACAAGAUACAGAAAAAUUCAGAACUAUCAGGAAUUCAACAGCAAGAGAUAUCCGAGCAGUCACAAAAUACAAGGCUGGUUUCCAAAGCUCAGGAGUCUGGCUAGGAAAUGAUGAGGUAUUAAAAGAAUAGAAACUUGUAUUCCAGUUUCUGAGCCUGGAGAAGACACACCAGCCUUCUUUUGUUCUAUUUUCUGUUUCUACUUUUUGUUCUAUUUUUUACUCUGCUGUCAACACAACUAGAAGCUUAAUUCAUACAAGUCAAGUCUGAAAUUAUUGAACAAUUAGUCAUCUUUCUAAGACACAGCAAAUAUUAAUAGACUCGUGAGAAAGUCUUAUGAACUGGCAAGGCUGAAUGAGGAACCCCUAGUGUCAGAGCAAACCCAAACAGAGACAACAUGAAUUGCUGACUGAAGCCAGGGCAAGUCUCCCUAUAAAUCCUGCAUGAGCCAGUGAUUCUCUGUGUGACCUUUGGCAAAUUGUUUGGUCUUGGUUUGUUCCUCUGUCUACUCAGCUGGAAAACUGGGUUAAAGAAAAAAAGAUGAAGCAGGAGCUGACCGAAAACCAGAUGCUGAGCAUCAGCUGAGCCUUUCCAGCGGUGAUUGUGGGAAAUGUUCACAGAAAGCACUGAGCUGGCACUAAUAUAGCGCAUGUCUCCGUUUGGGUAUCAGAGGUCAGUGAUUUGAGCUGGGAGAGAAAUUGCUGGCUCCCACCUUUUACGGCCAUCCAGCUAUCACCAACAGCUAUGAAAUGGAAACACGAGACUUUCAGUGCCCUCAACUUCUCUUCUUUGAUCCAUGAACACCUGCAAAGCAGCAGAUAAACAAAUCGUGCUCUGUCAGCCCUUGUUCAUACAAUAAGUGCUCUUGUCCUCACUACCUAUCUUCAUGGCCCUCUGCUAAGGUCUCUCCAGUGACACAUCCCUUAGCAUGGGGUCAAAAACUGGAGACAGUUUCUCCAACACAGUCUCUCCAUUGAUGGCCCCAGGAGUGCAAAUGCCUCCAUGGUAAGGGAUCUCACCACCCUGUGCCUGAAAAGGAUGCUUCAGCAAGGCAAAGGCUCUGUUGGAGCAAAUGGAGAUGUCCCUGGCACUGGGAGGCAGCCUCCAGUAGAUCAAGAAAAGUAAUUAUCUCCAUUUACUCUUUCCUUGUUAGACCACACCUGAAGUGCUGUGUCUAGAGCUCCCUCAUUCAGGGAAGUUACUGAUGACCCAAAAAGAGCUCAGCAGUGGACUACCCAGCUGGAGCAUCUUGCCCUGUGAGGAGAUGCUGGGAGAUGUGGGGCUUGUUCAGCCUGGAGAAGAAGAAACAGCUUCAGGGAGACUUUCCAGUACCUACAAGGAUGUUAGUG
Neopsephotus bourkii (Bourke's parrot) is the source of this 3156-nucleotide long non-coding RNA. RefSeq lists it as uncharacterized. Lineage: Eukaryota; Metazoa; Chordata; Aves; Psittaciformes; Psittacidae. The transcript is spliced from 3 exons. The record is from RefSeq and is a predicted model, not a curated record.